CUAAAGCAAGGCUGAGCUAACCUUUUUCUAGCAGCAUCUCCAGCGAAGAGAUAUUGUAGUACUGUAUUGGGAUCCCGUUUUACUUCUGCUCUGAGGGAGCUGAGGUGCAAAAGGCAGACAGCAGAUGAUGGGAGUUGAAGUGUUUCGGGUUCAGAGGACAUCCCAACCACUUUGCAGUGUCGGCACUGUUACUUCCUACCGAAUGGGGUGGUGUGUAAGAGGAAGAGAAGGAGUAGGGAUGAAGCAGAACAUCCACAAAGUUCCCAUGGGAAACUCUCUCUUUCUGCUGUCCACAAUAAUGGAGUUGGAGAGGGAAACACAGAGCAGACCAUAUCAUGCACACACAGUACACAAAUAACUAAAUGAAAGAGAGAAUGUUUUAUAAUGGAGAUAUGUGUGUUCCGAUUAAUGCAUAUUGCAUUGGGAAUAAAAUCAGAACAAAAAGUUUCUUUAAAAGUGAAUGCGGCCAGUCUGUUCAGUAAGAUCAAAGGCCUCUAAAAUGCCCUUGAGAUGAGUUUAAUAACACAUGUUUUGUGUACAUGUUUUGUGUACAUUAUAUGAGAUUGCUGUCCUGCUAGUUUAUUAGCCUUUCAGCCACCCCAACAUACAGUGCUGUAGAUCCAAACAAAGCUAUGGAAU
Long non-coding RNA from Oncorhynchus keta (chum salmon), 639 nucleotides. RefSeq lists it as uncharacterized. The record is from RefSeq and is a predicted model, not a curated record. NCBI's taxonomy places the organism in Eukaryota, Metazoa, Chordata, Actinopteri, Salmoniformes, Salmonidae. The transcript has 3 exons.